Molecule: ribosomal RNA, 444 nt
Filed under: Triticum aestivum (bread wheat)
Lineage: Eukaryota; Viridiplantae; Streptophyta; Magnoliopsida; Poales; Poaceae
Description: partial small subunit ribosomal RNA
Source: RNAcentral
AUGGUCCUUGUCUGGUACGGGGUCACCUUUCUCAUCAAACACCUACCAACCCCUAAUGCCGACGCCCGGCACCUUGAGCUGGAUGCUCACGUCGCGCUCUGGAUCUACGCCACUCUCGCGGAUCCCCUCGUCGACCAUAUCGUCGGCGCCAUCCGGAACAAAAUCAAAGACUUCUUCCUUGCAAAUCGGGUUGCUCGUUUCAUGAUCCUUAAUCGCCAGUACCGCAAUCUCAAGCAGGGCGAUCUCUCUGUCACUGAGUACACUCGUCGCAUGAAGCUCCUCACCGACGGCCUCGCCGACAUCGACCAUGCCGUCACCGAGGUGGACCUCACCACCCAGUCUCUCCACGGCCUGGACAAGCGCCUCGACACAAUCCGUGUCGUCCUUGGUGACCAGGGCAUGGCCUUAGACACCAUGCUCUCAUGUGUCGUCCUGGCCGAAUAA